CCGCCACUGGCUCAUCGGGAAAGAGCAUCAGCCUUCUAAGUUGACUGUGCGAGGUUCGAGUCUCGAUGGCGGUCCA
Molecule: transfer RNA, 76 nt
Filed under: Escherichia coli
Lineage: Bacteria; Pseudomonadati; Pseudomonadota; Gammaproteobacteria; Enterobacterales; Enterobacteriaceae
Description: tRNA-Arg
Rfam family: tRNA
About the family: Transfer RNA (tRNA) molecules are approximately 80 nucleotides in length.
Source: RNAcentral